GUGAAUCAUCGAAUCUUUGAACGCAAAUUGCACUCCCUGGUAUUCCGGAGAGUAUGCCUGUUUGAGGGUCAGUAGAACCAACAUCGACACGUCUCUCUUUUUUUUUAGGGGGAUCGCGUCGGAAUUGAGCCGUCUUUCUGCUUUUAAUGCAUGUCAAAGUGGCAUAAUAUUCAUCCAUCCGGUACGAUUAAAGCGUAUUUAAG
RNAcentral lists this unclassified non-coding RNA (203 nucleotides) under Glomeraceae sp. Its description in RNAcentral is "partial contains 5.8S ribosomal RNA and internal transcribed spacer 2". The stretch from base 1 to 71 matches the Rfam family "5.8S ribosomal RNA", at positions 84 to 154 of the family's 154-position model. The record is from RNAcentral. Lineage: Eukaryota; Fungi; Glomeromycota; Glomeromycetes; Glomerales; Glomeraceae.